GGACUACAGGGGUUUCUAAUCCCGUUUGCUCCCCUGGCUUUCGCGCCUCAGCGUCAGAAAGGGUCCAGCACGUCGCUUUCGCCACCGGCGUUCCUUCCGAUAUCUACGCAUUUCACCGCUCCACCGGAAGUUCCACAUGCCCCUACCCCCCUCAAGACGGCCAGUAUCAGGAGCUGUUUUCCAGUUGGGCUGAAAGAUUUCACCCCUGACUUGGCCGCCCGCCUACGCGCCCUUUAAGCCCAGUGAUUCCGAACAACGUUCGCACGGUUCGUCUUACCGCGGCUGCUGGCAC
Molecule: ribosomal RNA, 292 nt
Filed under: uncultured Planctomycetota bacterium
Lineage: Bacteria; Pseudomonadati; Planctomycetota
Description: uncultured planctomycete partial 16S ribosomal RNA
Source: RNAcentral